RNAcentral lists this ribosomal RNA (468 nucleotides) under uncultured bacterium. RNAcentral's name for it is "partial 16S ribosomal RNA". It matches the Rfam family "Bacterial small subunit ribosomal RNA", at positions 28 to 507 of the family's 1533-position model. The record is from RNAcentral.
GACGAACGCUGGCGGCGUGCUUAACACAUGCAAGUCGAACGGAAAGGCCCUGCUCUUGUGGGGUGCUCGAGUGGCGAACGGGGGAGUAACACGUGAGUAACCUGCCCUUGACUUUGGGAUAACUUCAGGAAACUGGGGCUAAUACCGGAGAGGAGCUCCUGCUGCACGGGGGGGGUUGGAAAGUUUCGGCGGUUGGGGAUGGACUCGCGGCUUACGAGCUUGAUUGUCGGGUAGUGGCUGACCAAGGCUUUGACGGGUAGCCGGCCUGAGAGGGUGACCGGCCACCUUGGGCCUGAGAUACGGCCCAGACUCCUACGGGACGCAGCAGUCGGGAAUAUUGCACAAUGGGCGGACGCCUGAUGCAGCAACGCCGCGUGCGGGAUGCCGGCCUUCGGGUUGUAAACCGCUUUCGACUGUGACGAAGCGUGAGUGACGGUAAUGGGUCAAGAAGCACCGGCUAACUACGUG